GUAACUUUGGGUGGGGAAAACCCAUCGCUGGGGAAAACCUGGUGCCUGUCCACUUGUUUCUUUGGGGCUGGCCCGAAGCAACCCCCUCUGCCGCCUGACGCAGGCAGCCUGUCCCCUCCACCCGCCCCUCCUCUCCCCCCAGAAGUGUUUAUUUCCCAAGCAAUGACCCACUAUACAAUCCAGGCCCCUUGGGACCUCUUGAUGCGUGGGAACCUGCUGCCUCCCACCAGCAGGCAGUGGAUGAGAUGGGCGGGCAGCCGGCCUGCCUGAUGCUGGGAGAAGAGGCGGGAGGAGGAGGAGACGGCAGCUUUGCUGCAGGCCCAGGGAGAGAGUAACUACGCAGCCCAGGAGCAGACACAGAGCCCCGGCCAAGGAAGGACAAGCUUAACUCAAGCCACCCGAAUCUUCUCGGGAGAGAUGGGGGGGGGAUGGAAACCGCCACCGGCAGAUGGUGCACAACCGGGGAACAGCUACACAACCCAGACAGGAGGAGGGAUGUUUUGCACUGGCCGCAUUUCAAGCCUUUCUGGGAGCGCCCCCAAAGCCCAGCUGGGAUCAGCAAUGGGGAGGGGAGGGAAGCAGUCCCUUUCCACGCGGAUGAGCCCACCUUCUGUCUUUCCUUCUGGAGGAAAGGAAGCGGGGUGGGGGUCAUCUCAAGACCGCUGAGCAAGCGGGCGACUGCGGGGACAUGCAGAGCCUCGGGUGGGCUUGCCUUGCCUUGCCUUCCUCUCUGCCUGCCACCCUCCAGGCGUUCCGCCCCGGGGCUUGGCUUCCGGCAGGCCCUCUGCCCAGUUCCCUGGCUGGUUCUCAAUCUCUGCAGGCCGCGAAGCCGCCUCCCCUAGUCAGGGACUGCACAGUGAGCUCUGCCACUUGUGCAGGACACAGAAGGAGCCUUCGGGGUGCGGAACGUUUUCUUCACACCAGAAGGGGGCGGCGGAGGUGGAGGAGUUCAAGUGCUUUGUGUGGGACAAAGGAAGGCGGAUGGAGACGGAUUCGAGGCCAGGAAGCAUCUAAUCCGCCUUCUGAAACCCGCACGGGCACUGAGAGAGACAAGGAGCAUGUCUCCCCUGCCCGCCAUGCCCCUCAAGAUCCUUUCAGCGGGAGAAAACGCAAGCGCUUUCAAGAAGGGAGGAGGAGAAGGGAGACUCACUGUUGGAGCAGUCCACGCCCCGCCAUCCUUCUUCGCACUGGCACAGGUCGGGCGCCACGCACCUCCCGUGCACACACUCGUGGGUGCAGUGGGCUGCAGUCAAGAGAGGAGGAAAAACAGAGUGGCUGAGGAGGCAGGCAGGCAGGUAACCUAUGCUUGUUUCAGGGAUGAAGCCGUCAACAAAGCUGCUUGCACGGAGAGCACCCUGUCCUCUGGCACCCUCAGGAAACCCAGGUGGGUGAACAGGGCUGCGGAAACCUACUAGUCUACCAGUCUGCGGCGAGUGAAAAAGGGUGCCUGGCGAGUAAUGUACCAACAUAGCUUGAGGAGCCAUCUGGACUCCGUAGCUUCUCUAUACCGACAAGGCUGAAGCUGGUCCCCCGUUCCUGACCUGACACAGAGCGGCGUGACUUGCCAGGAGAGGAAGAUGGCUACCGGCGACCUCAGGGCAGCGCAUCCCCAGUAACUGGGAGACUGCUUCCACUCCUCUGCUUCCCCCCUCCACAAUGGAAUUGGAGCGUUGCAAGAGCGUCACAAGUCAUCACAGAAACUUAUGACUCCAACUCAUUCAAAUAAUUUCAUCAAGGGUUAUCCUACGUUUGAUGUGUGUCUGACAAGCUAUGAAGGUUUAAUGCUACAAUAAAUCUGUUUGUCUUUUCAA
Long non-coding RNA from Hemicordylus capensis (graceful crag lizard), 1811 nucleotides. RefSeq lists it as uncharacterized. The transcript is spliced from 3 exons. The record is from RefSeq and is a predicted model, not a curated record. Lineage: Eukaryota; Metazoa; Chordata; Lepidosauria; Squamata; Cordylidae.